GACGAACGCUGGCGGCGUGCUUAACACAUGCAAGUCGAACGGAAAGGCCCUGCUUUUGUGGGGUGCUCGAGUGGCGAACGGGUGAGUAACACGUGAGUAACCUGCCCUUGACUUUGGGAUAACUUCAGGAAACUGGGGCUAAUACCGGAUAGGAGCUCCUGCUGCAUGGUGGGGGUUGGAAAGUUUCGGCGGUUGGGGAUGGACUCGCGGCUUAUCAGCUUGUUGGUUGGGUAGUGGCUUACCAAGGCUUUGACGGGUAGCCGGCCUGAGAGGGUGACCGGCCACAUUGGGACUGAGAUACGGCCCAGACUCCUACGGGAGGCAGCAGUGGGGAAUAUUGCACAAUGGGCGGAAGCCUGAUGCAGCAACGCCGCGUGCGGGAUGACGGCCUUCGGGUUGUAAACCGCUUUCGCCUGUGACGAAGCGUGAUUGACGGUAAUGGGUAAAGAAGCACCGGCUAACUACGUG
Molecule: ribosomal RNA, 468 nt
Filed under: uncultured bacterium
Lineage: Bacteria
Description: partial 16S ribosomal RNA
Rfam family: Bacterial small subunit ribosomal RNA
Source: RNAcentral